This 9328-nucleotide long non-coding RNA is filed under the name Setaria italica (foxtail millet). RNAcentral describes it as "long non-coding RNA (SITA_LNC006244)". The record is from RNAcentral. Lineage: Eukaryota; Viridiplantae; Streptophyta; Magnoliopsida; Poales; Poaceae.
AACUUUUGCAGACCAUCUACAACUCUAAAGAGAGACGAGUCUAGAACCUUCCGGGGCACCACACCAUUGAAGUGAUGGACCGCGUGGCGAGGCUGGUGUCGGAGCGGACGGUGGUGGUGUUCACGGUGAGCAACUGCAGCUGGUGCAACGUCGUGACGUCGCUGCUGGACAGCCUGGGCGUGCACGCCGCCGUGCACGAUCUGGACAGGGACCCCCGGGGCCGGGAGAUGGAGCGGGAACUCGCCAGGAGGCUCGGCGGCGGCGCCGGGCGCGGUGGCAGCACACCGACCGUGCCGGCGGUGUUCGUGGGCGGCGACCUCGUCGGCGGGAUUAACAGGGUCCUGGCGCUGCACCUCAGCGACGAGCUCGUGCGCAUGCUCAGGAACGCCGGCGCGAUCUGCCCAUGCUAGAAUAGUGAAGUCAACCGUGACAAUUGCUCGAAAAUAAUGGAGGGAGUAACUAAACCUCUGUAAUUAUUCUUCUCGUUUGAAUUUAGAUAUAACCGCUAAUAGUAUGUUGCUAUGCAAUUAUGCAGUUAAUAUCAAAUUGAAUUGUGUGUAAUGAAUUAAUCUGCUGAAUGCGGAUACGAGAAACAGUCGUUGACCCAACUCCUCAAGAAUCAAGAGGUGAUACGUUGCCCUUGAGAUGGUCGAGGGGAUCAACGUUUGAGCUACUGGUUUGGACAAAUUUUGACUGAAAUUUUAAAAUCUAAAUGAAUUCGUCCCAAAAAUUUCCGGCACUGCCAAAAUUCAAAGGCAAUCUGCACAGUGGAGUCGGCAGCCCGGCAGCACACCACAUAGAGCAUCGAACAGCACAAAUUCCAUCGACUGAAACUAAUUCAAGGCCUUCACGCCUUCAUUACACCAUCAACCGAACACAAGUUCAGUAGACUCUAGUCAGCGCAGCGACCAGUGACAAACUCACAAACAAUGACUGAAACCGUAAAGGCAAAGGCAGAUUGACACCACAAAGGAAUUUCAGCAUUUCCAUUAUGCAAUAGUGCAUUUUCUACUCAUCUAAUCAUCUCUGGAAUCAGAAGAAUCAGAAAUGUGCAUCAAGCUGCCAAUCAUCACGCAUCAGACCUGAGUUUCUUCUUCCUAGGUCACCUCUUCCUUUUUUUUCUUGUGGUCGUGGGUUCGUGACAUCGAUGCUCCAGUGGCUGUGAUGCUCCAGCUCCAUCUUGUCCACUUUCAUGAACUUCCUUUUCUUCUGCAUUUGCAAUUGGUACAGUCCAAAGUAACCAACUCCAGAAGAACAUCAUUUAUUUCCUUCUCUAUGGGAUCUCUGCUCCUGUUCUCAUUCUUUUGCCUUAGUUUGGAGUUAAAUGCACAAAAUGCAAGAUCCCUCAUCCUACCAUGAAGUAAUAGAUGAAAUAAUGGGCUUGGCCCAUUUCAAUUUCAGAAAUUCCAAAUAAAUCUCAAAAGCCCAUGUGGGAAUGAGCAAGUGGUUGAAGUGGUGCAAACCUUUAGUCCCACAUUGCUAGUGGAAGAGAAGGAUGGCCACAUAAAUAUGGAGGUUGUCUUCACUCCUCCAAGCUAUGUGUGUGGGGAGAGAAGGAAAGCUCCACACGCGCACGCUCGCUCGCUGCACCACACGGGGCGAAGGGCGUGGGCGUGUGACACCUGCAUGAAUGGUCGACCGAAAUCCGGCCUCCAACCUUGCGGUGGCGAGCAAACGGGAGAGCAGGUCUCCGAAACCUCUCGCUCUUGUGAUCCUACAUGGGGAGAGGGCAAAUAAGGUUUUUGGAAGCGCUCCGCGCGACUGCUCAAGGUCUUCACCAUGACUUGUCCUCCGUCUAAGUCUGGCGUUGUGGGCGUACCAUCGUCUUCGACGUCGUCUGUUGCGCUCCAUCCGCAACACCGUCAUCGUUCCGUCAGCACCGCUUGUCAUCACGGCUGCACCUGCUAAGUACGUACGUCGUGAUCCAAUCUGUUAUUUCAGCAUAUUUUCUAAGAUCAUGAAGUUGUGCACUUCUCUAAGCAUUGUCCAAAUCAUGCAGACCGCAAGGGCAAAAGGGCCAAUGGGUCUAAGUAUGUCAACAUGGUGACCAUAGGCAACACUGGAGAUGGGUACGGUAAUCUACCUACUGUUCUUUCAGUUUUUCAUUCCACUAGUUGGUGGUUUGAUACUGGUGCCAAUGUUCAUGUGUGUGCUGACAUCUCCAUGUUUUCCUCUUACCAGGUCACCCAGGAUUUCUCUGUGCUAAUGGGAAUGGGUCACAUGCUACUAUUCAUGGUGUUGGUACGGUAGAUCUGAAGUUUACUUCAGAAUUUCUUUGUGCUGAUGGGAAAUGGAUCACAUGCUGUUGUUCAUGGUAUUGGUACGGUAGAUCUAAAGUUACUUCGGGGAAGAUCGUGCAACUGAGGAACGUGCAUCAUGUCCCUACCAUCAACAAGAGUCUUGUGAGCGGGUCGGUCCCGUGUAAGGACGGGUUUAAGGUAGUGUUAGAGUCCAAUAAAUUAGUCAUGUCAAAACAUGGACAGUUCGUUGGUAAAGGCUAUGAGUGCGGAGGCUUGUUCUGCUUUUCCCUUGCAAACUUUUGUAAUAAGUCCGUGAACCAUAUUUGCGGCAACGUUAGUGUGAUGCGAGUACUUGGCAUUCACGUUUGUGCCAUAUUAAUUUUUGUUUAAUGUCUCGGCUUUCCAGCAUGUGUUUAAUUCCGAACCUCACCAUUGGCAAAGGUUCUAAGUGCCAUAGUUGUGUGCAAUCGAAGCAACCUCGGAAGCCUCACAAGGCGGCUGAGGAGAGACACUUGGCACCUCUAGAACUCAUACAUUCUGAUAUGUGUGAGAUGAAUGGUGUGUUGACAAAAGGUGGAAAGAGAUACUUCAUGACAUUGAUUGAUGAUGUGACUAGAUUUUUCUAUGUUUACUUGUUGCAAACUAAGGAUGAAGCAUUAGACUACUUUAAAAUUUAUAAGGCUGAGGUUGAGAAUCAACUUGAGAGAAAGAUCAAGUGUCUAAGGCUUGAUCAUGGUGGUGAGUAUUUUCCAAAAAUCUUUGAUGAAUUCUGUGAGGAACAUGGUAUUAUUCAUGAGAGGACGCCUCCCUAUUCGCUUGAGUCCAACAGGGUUGCUGAGAGGAAAAACCACACACUGACUGACUUAGUUAAUUCCAUGUUAGAUACUGCCAGUUUAUCUAAGGUAUGGUAGGGAGACUCUAUUGACUUCAUGUCAUGUCCCGAAUAGAGUUCCGAACAAAGAAUAAAGAUCAAACUUCAUAUAAGAUGUGGAUCGGGAGAAAACCGUCACUUUCUUAUUUGCGUACUUGGGCUGCUUGGCGAAAGUCAAUGUACCCAUUCCGAAGAAGCGCAAGUUAGGACCUAAGACAAUAGAUUGUGUCUUUCUAGGAUAUGCUCAAAGGAGCAUUGCUUAUAGAUUUUUAGUGGUUAAAUCUGAGGUCCCUGAUAUGCAUGUUGAUACUAUUAUGGAAUCUCAUGAUGCAACAUUUUUUCAGAAUAUAUUUCCUCUUAAAGAUAUGCAUAGCAACUCUAGAUUUUCUGCUGAAAUAACUUCUGAACCUACUGCACCUGUUGAGUCUUCUGAACAACCCGAUGAGCAUUAGCAUGAGGACGUCAUAGAGAAGGAUGACAGUGAAGCUCCUAGAAGAAGCAAGAGAUAGAGGGUUGAAAAAUCCUUUGGUGAUGAUUUCACUAUGUACCUUGUGGACAAUACUCCUACGUCCAUCAUUGAGACAUAUGCAUCUUCAGAUGCAGACGAUUGGAAAGAAGUUGUCCAAAGUGAGAUGGAUUCGAUUCUUUCUAAUGGGACAUGGGAGCUCACUGAACGACUCUACGGUUGCAAACCAGUGGGUUGUAAAUGGGUGUUCAAGAAGAAGUUUAGGCCUGAUGGUACUAUUGAAAAGUACAAGGCUAGACUUGUGGCCAAAGGUUACACACAAAAAGAAGGUGAAGACUUCUUCGAUACCUAUUCACCUGAUCGCUAGACUGACCUCUAUUCAAGCACUACUUUCUCUGGCUGCCUCGUAUAGUCUUAUCGUCCACCAGAUGGAUGUAAAGACAGCUUUUCUAAAUGGAGAGUUGGAUGAGGAGAUCUAUAUAGAUCAGCCUGAUGGGUUUGUGGUAAACGGUCAAGGGAGCAAGGUGUGUAAGUUGUUGAAGUCUUUGUAUGGCCUGAAAGAAGCACCUAAGUAAUGGUAUGAUAAUUUUGACAGAACUUUAACUUCUGCGGGCUUUGUCAUUAAUGAGAUUGAUAGAUGUGUGUACCAUCGCCAUGGUGGGGGUGAAGGGUUAUAUUAUGCUUGUAUGUGGAUGACAUACUGAUCUUUGGCACAAACAUUGAUGUGAUUAAUGAGGUCAAGCUGGGAGAAGCUGAUGUUAUUCUGAACAUCAAGCUGAUUAAGUAUGAGAAUAGGAUUACUCUUUUGCAAUCCCAUUAUGUGGAGAAGAUCUUGAACCAUUUUGUUUAUAUAGAUAGCAAGCCUUCUCCAACACCUUAUGAUCCCAGCGUGAUACUCAGAAAGAACAAGAAAACUGCUAAAGACCAACUGAGAUAUUCUCAGAUUGUCGGAUCACUCAUUUACUUAGGUAGUGCAACGAGACCCGACAUAGCUUUUGCUGUGAACAAAUUGAGUAGGUUCAUGUCAAUCCCGGGGUUUGAUCAUUGGCAUGCACUUGAAAGGGUUAUGCGCUACUUGGUGGGUACUAUGAGUUAUGAGAUUCACUAUUCCGGGCACCCUGCUGUGCUUGAGGGAUAUAGUGAUUCGAACUAGAUUUUGGAUGCUGAUGACCUAUAUGGCACGAGUGGGCAUGUGUUUACCCUUGGAGGUGGUGCAAUAUCAUGGAGGUCUUGCAAACAGACCAUUCUGACGAGGUCAACCAUGGAAACAAAACUUACUGCUUUGGAAACAGCCACUGUUGAGGCAGAAUAGCUGCGUGAUCUCUUGAUGGACUUGCCUAUAGUUGAUAAACCAAUACCAGCAAUCCUUAUGAACUGUGACAAUCAAACGGUGAUAGUUAAAGUGAACAGUGCUAAGGAUAACGCAAAAUCAUCAAGAUAUGUCAAGAGACGACUGAAGUCUGGCAGAAAGUUGAGAAACUCCGGAGUAAUAAGUGUGACUUAUAUUCAAACAGAUAAAAAUCUGGCAUAUCUCUUUACAAAAGGGCUAUCACGGAAUGUGAUAGAAUGUACAUGAAGGGAGAUGGAUAUGAGACCCGUUUAAGUUGCCGUAGUGGUAGCCCAACCUAUGUGAUUGGAGAUCACGCGAAUUAGGAUAUGGGAAAAACAAGCUGUCGGUUGACUGAGGAGAGUAAAUUAUUAAACUCUCUCUAUAUAAAAAUACAAUACUCUCAAAUGCUGCAAGGAAGGUUAGCAAUGUGCUUUAAUGUGCUUCUAUUGACUUGAUUAAGCGAAGAUGCUGUCCUACAUAGCAUUCUUGAAAGAACACACAUAUAUGAGCCCGACUGUACAACAUCGCAGUCUAUGAGACUUGGGUGAUCUCUAGUAAUCUCAUGAAGAGACCAAGAAGUAUGACGAAUAUGCUUCACCUGUGGGGUAGGCUACUGGCAGCGAGGUACUAGUUCCAACUCUAAGUGAAACUUGUCCGCACAAAACUUGCAAUUCAAGGCUUAGUCCAUUGUCAAGUUAUGGAUGAAUGUAGCUUGAAGCUCUAGGCGAGAGUUCAACUUAACAGUCCUUGCUGAAACACUAGUAUAUAAACAGCAAGGAGAAACAGGCAAAAUCUCUGAUAGACUUUUGAGAUCUUUUGGGGGAUUGAUGAAAUAAUGGGCUUGUCCCAUUUCAAUUUAAGAAAUUCCAAAUAAAUCUCAAAGGCCCAUGUGGGAAUGAGCAAGUGGUCGGAGUGCUGCAAACCUUUUGUCCCACAUUGCUAGUGGAGGAGAAGGAUGGCCAACAUAAAUAUAAAGGUUGUCUCCACUCCUCCAAGCUAUGUGUGUGGGGAGAAAAGGAAAGCUCCACAUGCACGCGCUCGCUCUCCAUGCCACGCCUCGUCGGGCAGGGUGAAGGGCGCGGGCAUGCGACACCUGCGUGAAUGGUCCACCGAAAUCCGACGUCCAACCUUGCGGUGGCGUGGUUUCCUUGUGCCGUUUUAUUUUUUGUUAGUUGGUCUUUAAGUCAAUGAGAUAUAUGGAAGCCUAAUCGGUUUAGAUCACGAUCGCGACGUGAGAUCGUGGGUUCUCCUCUAUAUACGACCUAUCGUCCUCUACCGAAAAGACAUCUAAUCGAGCUAGGGUUUUGCCUCUUCUCGCUGCUGUGGCGCCACCAUAGUCUACUCCAUCUCGAGCACCGGCGUGCACCAACGAACAAGAGAGUAGGUCUCCGGAACAUCUCGCUCUUGUGAUCCUGCACCGGGAGAGGGCGAAUAACGGUUUUGGAAAACGCUCCGCGCGACUGCUCAAGGUCUUCACCAUGGCUCAUCCUCCGUCCAAAUCAGGCUUUGCGGCGUACAUCGUCUUCAACGUCGUCUGCUGCGCUCCGUCUGCAACAGCGUCGUCAUUUCGUCAGCACCGCUUGUCAUCAGAGCUCACCCGCUAAGUACGUACGCCGUGAUCCAAUCUGUUAUUUCAGCAUGUUUUCUGAGAUCAUGAAGUUGUGCUUGUUGUUGCCUUGUAUGUUAGAGAAUCGCAUGCUAGGUUUUAUUCUUAUUAUGAUAAAUCUAGUUCGGAAAUUAAUCAUGCAGCAGUAGUUUGUUGGCAUUCUUUGUGGUGAACCGCGCCAUGCCAAACGCCUGCAUGUGACAUAGAGGUCGUAUUGAAGAUGUUGUCAGGAACAAAUGGUGAAAACCUUCAGCGAGACAAGAUAUAUAGCAAACUGGGAAGAUUUAUCUAGUACGGUCGAAUUGUAUGAUGAUUUGAUCAGCAAGAAUGGUGAAACUAUACAAGGACAAGAGAGUCCACUACGGAAAAAGGAAGUGUGACUGAGGGAGGGGCCGAAUGCGAGUGCAACCUAUCUGUAUGAAUAUUCAAUUCUGGACCUGAAGAUUGAUAUAAAGUGGCUGCUCUUAGCCGAAGGGAUCAGAUCCUUCUGUCAUACUGUCAUGUGACGAAGCAUCGCCGCGUUGUUGUCGGCACAUUUGCUUUUCCUAUGGACUUCUGUAUUAAUUUAAACUCGAGCUCAAAGACCGACCUGAGCUCUAAAGUUAAGCAGUGACGCAGGAAAAACUCACUUUUUCACACAGCUGAAGGAAAUAGCAUGUGUAUUGCACUCAGACUGCUAACAACAGCAGAACAAAGGUUCACUGUGCUCUCGCUGCUUUUCAGCUUGUCAACAAUAUAUUACAAACAGUAUGCUAACAUCUGCACUUGGUCUGUAUUUGAAUCUUGAAGUGCAGGUAUGUGUUAUUAAUAAGUCUUCUUUUCAAGAUUGUUAUAAAACAGUGGCUGAACAAAAUCUUUUUUCUCUCUUGAGAUAUUUCCAGAUUUUUUUUUCUCUCUUCAUUGCCCCUCACCUUUACUUUCGUCUCAGAUAUGCUUUUGCAGAUCAUAGAAUGUAGCCCCUUGCAUACAUGAGGAGCCAGGAACUGAUCAAGCUCAGGAAGGAAUCUCAAGAUGCAAAGUUCCACACAUGGUCCGCACUGCGAGGACAGAUCUUGAGGAUAAGGGUACAUGUCUAUCCAGAUAUUCUCCAUUGUCGUCUGCUUGUUCCAGAGGUUUGCAUCAUAUACAAGAGAAGAUGUGAAGAUGCAUCGCGGCUUAUCAACGGUGACUGUUCCAUAGCAUCAUUUAAACAGCAUGCUCUUGCUGAUAUGCAAUGCAAGGUUCUGCUGCGUCUUGCUGAUAAGGAUGAUGCGGCUUGUUAAAGGUGGAAGUCUUCAGAGAGAACCAGACAUAGCAAAUUGGGUGUCUGACUGAAGAUUUGUUCACUAAGAAUGGUGUGAAACUGUUCAGAAGCAACGUGAGAAUGCAAAUGGGGCAGAUUCUGGCGCCACGGAUAAGGUCAGAAGAGAGACUGACUGUGGAUGAUGAAAGUCGUCAGAGAUAACAAGACAUUGCAAAAUGGGUGUCUGACUGAAGAUUCAUUCACUAAGAAUGGUGAAACUAUUCAGAAGCAACUUGAGAAUGCAAAUGGGCAGAUUCUGACGCUACGGACAAGGUCAGAAGAGAGAGUGACUGUGUGAGGGGGACUGAUGAGACCGUAGGCUCUCUGUCUGAAGAUGCCAUUCUGUACCUGAAGAACAGGGGCUUGAUACCUCCAAUACAAAGUGGUUGUUCUUAGCCGGAGGAAUCAGAUCCUGCUGUCAUACUGUCAUGUGACGAAGCGUCGCCGUGUUGUUGUCGGCACUUUUGAUUUUUCUAUGGACUUCUGUACUUAACACUCGGACUCAAAAGGUCUGAACUCUCAAGUUAGCAGUGAUGCAGGCCAGCAUUCAGAUUUUCACAGAACUGAAGAACACUACAACUACUAGGUAAUGGAAAUGACAUACAUUGCAUCAGAGGUUUUCAGUGAUUACAAGGUUCAGAAUUCAGACCCUAUAUCAACAAAGCAGAGAAAAAUUUCACUGUUCUCAUUGUUCUAUUUUUGAGCUAUUCAACCAUGUCUUACUAGUAUGUUAACGUGUGUACUUGAUCAGUAUCGGAAUCUGUAAGUGCAUACAUAUACUCUCAAGAUUGUAUGAUUAUAAAUUGUGACUGAACAAUUUAUUUCUACCCUAAAGAAAAUCCACAAAUAUACGUUUGUGUAUAGUCCUAUCCUCAUUUGAAAAGAUCCAUUUGUUUUUUCAGAUUUUAGCAUUGGAAUUUCGGCAUGAGGUCAACUCGUGUUAUGAGGAAAGAUUCUAGUGCUCCAAGGCCCUCAUGCAUGAACACACACACGGAUUCUUAUCCAAAACUAGCUAUCCAAUCUUUAACUUGCCUGCACUCUACCAGAAGAAUCAUUUUUCAGUUACACAUGAACCAAAUCUAGCUAUAUAUGUUCCAUAUGCACAUAAAAGAAUAUAACAUGCUUAGAAAAUGCUAUGAUCUCAUUAGCAAAAAAAAAUGAAAAUGCUAUGAUAUGGUUGUUAAGAAUCUUACAAUAAUCCACUGCAGAUAGGCACACAUACUGACAUCUUUUUCUAGCCUAUAAAAGGAAGCCAUGGCCAGCACCAAGAAACCAGACCAGUCAACUUUUGCAGACCAUCUACAACUCUAAAGAGGGACGAGUCUAGAACCUUCCGGGGCACCAGACCAUUGAAGUGAUGGACCGCGUUGCGAGGCUGGUGUCGGAGCGGGCGGUGGUGGUGUUCACGGCGAGCAACUGCAGCAUGUGCGACGUCGUGACGUCGCUGCUGGGCAGCCUGGGCGUGAACGCUGCCGUGCACGAUCUGGACAGGGACCCCCGGGGCCGGGAGAUGGAGCGGGAGCUCGCCAGGAG